CAAAAACCGCAGCCCGACUUAAGUGGAAAUCCUUUUUUUGUAUUUUAAAAAAAGAUUGGGAACGGAAGGCGGAAAUGUCU
RNAcentral lists this small RNA (80 nucleotides) under Halpernia frigidisoli. RNAcentral's name for it is "Flavo-1 RNA". It matches the Rfam family "Flavo-1 RNA". Lineage: Bacteria; Pseudomonadati; Bacteroidota; Flavobacteriia; Flavobacteriales; Weeksellaceae. The record is from Rfam by way of RNAcentral.